CAGACGGCUCAGUAACACGUAGUCAAUCUAACCUAUGGACGAGGAUAACCUCGGGAAACUGAGAAUAAUACUCGAUAGAUCAUAAUGCCUGGAACGGUUUAUGGUUCAAAUGAAUUUCGCCAUAGGGUGGGACUGCGGUCUAUCAGCUUGUUGGUGAGGUAAUGGCCCACCAAGGCUAUUACAGAUACGGGCUCUGAGAGGAGUAGCCCGGAGAUGGGUACUGAGACACGGACCCAGGCCCUAUGGGGCGCAGCAGGCGAGAAAACUUUGCAAUGUGCGAAAGCACGACAAGGUUAAUCCGAGUGGUUCCUGCUAAAGGAAUCUUUUGUUAGUCGUAACACCACUGAUGAAUAAGGGGUGGGCAAGUUCUGGUGUCAGCCGCCGCGGUAAAACCAGCACCUCAAGUGGUCAGGAGGAUUAUUGGGCCUAAAGCAUCCGUAGCCUGCUCUGUAAGUUUUCGGUUAAAUCUAUGUGCUCAACACAUAGGCUGCCGGAAAUACUGCAGAGCUAGGGAGUGGGAGAGGUAGACGGUACUCCGUAGGAAGGGGUAAAAUCCUUUGAUCUAUGGAUGACUACCUGUGGCGAAGGCGGUCUACCAGAACACGUCCGACGGUGA
This 616-nucleotide ribosomal RNA is filed under the name uncultured archaeon. RNAcentral's name for it is "bacterial SSU rRNA". It matches the Rfam family "Archaeal small subunit ribosomal RNA", at positions 82 to 700 of the family's 1478-position model. The record is from RNAcentral.